GACGAACGCUGGCGGCAUGCCUAACGCAUGCAAGUCGAGCGAGUUGAUCCCUUCGGGGUGAAGCUAGCGGCGGACGGGUGAGUAACACGUGGGCAACCUGCCUCAUAGAGGGGAAUAGCCUUCCGAAAGGAAGAUUAAUACCGCAUAAGAUUGUAGCCUCGCAUGAAGCAGCAAUUAAAGGAGUAAUCCGCUAUGAGAUGGGCCCGCGGCGCAUUAGCUAGUUGGUGAGGUAACGGCUCACCAAGGCGACGAUGCGUAGCCGACCUGAGAGGGUGAUCGGCCACAUUGGGACUGAGGCACGGCCCAGACUCCUACGGGAGGCAGCAGUGGGGAACAUUGCACAAUGGGGGAAACCCUGAUGCAGCAAUGCCGCGUGAGUGAUGACGGCCUUCGGGUUGUAAAGCUCUGUCUUCGGGGACGAUAAUGACGGUACCCGAGGAGGAAGCCACGGCUAACUACGUGCCAGCAGCCGCCGCGG
RNAcentral lists this ribosomal RNA (478 nucleotides) under uncultured bacterium. RNAcentral's name for it is "partial 16S ribosomal RNA". It matches the Rfam family "Bacterial small subunit ribosomal RNA", at positions 28 to 523 of the family's 1533-position model. The record is from RNAcentral.